RNAcentral lists this ribosomal RNA (371 nucleotides) under uncultured eukaryote. RNAcentral describes it as "partial 18S ribosomal RNA". It matches the Rfam family "Eukaryotic small subunit ribosomal RNA", at positions 592 to 975 of the family's 1831-position model. The record is from RNAcentral.
CAAUAGCGUAUAUUAAAGUUGUUGCAGUUAAAAAGCUCGUAGUUGGAUUUGUGGUGGUCCCUGUGGUCCAAAAUUGGUACUUUCGGGGACUGCCAUCCUUGGGUGGAUCCUGUGUGGCAUUAGGUUGUCGUGCAGGGGAUGCCCAUCGUUUACUGUGAAAAAAUUAGAGUGUUCAAAGCAGGCUUAUGCCGAUGAAUAGAUUAGCAUGGAAUAAUAAGAUAGGACCUCGGUACUAUUUUGUUGGUUUGCGCACUGAGGUAAUGAUUAACAGGGACAGUUGUGGGUAUUCGUAUUGCAUUGUCAGAGGUGAAAUUCUUGGAUUUCUGCAAGACGAACUAAUGCGAAAGCAUUUACCAAGGAUGUUUNCAUUA